GCCCCGCGGUCUCGGCUUCUUGGCCUCGGUCCCACGCUGGGUCUGCAGCACGUAGGGUUGCUGUAGUCUUGGCGCCCAAAGCUCUCCCAGUGCAGCCCUGUAGACACUUCGUGAGUAAUUUCGGUUGGAGAAAUUCUGACACGUGGGUGAGCGGUAGUAACUGGUUUAAUAGGUUCCGUGAGGAAUGGGAAAACAACUUCCGCAGCAGGUGGCGCUGUGACAUCAGCCAUCACAGAGGCUGGCUUUCCAGGCUAGGGCUGCGGAGUACUGCAUUUCUGUGCCCUUGGCUGGGGCUCUCGCCCUAGUCAGUCCUGAAAGGAUGCGCUGCGUAGUCUGUUCACGCUGCGAUCCCGCAGAUUACACCACGCAGCGUAGGGUAUCCGGCUGCACUGGGAGAUGCGUUUCACAGAACGUACUUACUGGACAGUCUGUCCCCCAUCUGGUGCCACAAAAUAUGAAAUAAGUAAAAUUAUUACCACUCGUUUUGUAUUAUCAGGUGAACGACCUGAUAGCGAAGACUUUGUCUGAAAUUUUUUUUUUUUAUUGUCUGUUGUUCGUAUUCAUGUCUAACUUUUAUCCUCAGGCUUCUUUAUUUUCACAUGGUGUUUUCUCCUUGGAAACUCCUUGACUCCAUUGAUUCACCAUUAGUUCUGCAAACCAAACUCUGUCACCAGCAUUCCCACGCAACAGCCUCACACUUAAGCUGUCAGAAAUUGGACUCAUCAUUUUCUCUUCACCCAAAACAACUUACCCUCUCAUUUCCUGAUUAAUGUUAGUGAUCUCCCCAUCUUUCCUGUUCCUCAGAAUUAUCUUCAACUCUUUGCUUCCCUCCACUAUCUCACAAUUCACUCUUUCCCUAAGUCCUUCCUAUGUUAUUUCUGUCAAGGGCUUGAAUCUCUUCAAACUAUUUCUCGGGCACCUACUAUGUGCGGGACCUUGUAGGAUGCAGGAGACGUGGUGGUUUGGUACGCGUCAGUGGUUUCAUCCUUUUGGCAAGUGUGACUCCUCCCAGGUGCUGAGUGAGCAGGCAGUUCUGCCUCACCGCACAUGGUGAUUACCUGGGACGUUUUGGAGAAAAGUAUGGGUCCCGGGCUUCUCUCACAGCUUCUCUGAUUCAGUAGCUCUGCAGAGGGGCUGAGGACAAUGGGUGUUUUUGUUUCUUAUUUUGUUUGUUUCUUUGUUUAUUGUACUGAGGGCUGAACCAACGAUCUUCACACUCAACUACAUACUUGGCCCUCUUAAAAUUUUUAAGAUAGUCCUUCUAAGUUGCUCUGGCUGGCCUUGAACUUGGGAUCCACCUGCCUCAACCUCUCAAAGUGCUGGUAUACAGGCAUGUGCCACCUCAACCGGCUGAUGCUGUGUGUGUGUGUUAACAACACUUGGCAGAAGUGAUGGACGAGAAGCAGGGAGGAACUCCUGGGAUGGAUGAAGGGGUCUCACAGUCGCCCUCGGAGGGGGUGGCCAGGCAAGUGCCGCUCCAGUCCCUCACAGUGGAGAGCUGGAGCAGCCUCAGGUCCAGUGGAGAUCCCAUCGAGCAGUGGGAGGGGUGAGCUGGGCAUACCAGAACCUGCAACAUGUUCUGUUGAUGUCCAUUUGCUGACUUGGGCCAAAGCGAGGGAGCUGGGCAGAAGCACAGGAACAAGGCAGGCGCGGUGAGGGAAAGGGGCAGGUGAAGGCCACCUGGCUUUCUUCUGAUCUGCUCCAGCCCUAGUCCCUUGUGUUCUAGGCCAUCUUCUCGUGUUGCUGCAAACGCCUGACAGAGCUCCAAAGCAAAAUGCUGUGACCACCUUCCUUUCCCCGUGUCCUAGAAUUAUCCUUUCCCUUUGUUAAGGGUGUAUGGUUUGCUCAGGGCCUGCCCAUGCUGGGUAAGCAGGAGCAGCUCAGAGGCCCAUGGGUGGCCUUCUGUCCUUGGCCUUGCACAGAGAAAUCAGGGAAGGAAGGACCAGUGGCUCCCAGAAAUUUUCCUAGUGUUGUGGCUUUCUAAGACUAGCCCAGCUUAUUUUAUGGAUGCCACUCAAACACAGGGUUAUUUAAAAAUAUUACAUAGAGGCUGGGGAUUUAGCGCAGUGGUUUUGCUGCCUGCUUCGCAAGCACAAGGACCCGAGUUCGAUCCCCCGGUACCAAAAAACAAAAGAAUAAGUUUCUUGUUUCCACAUUCAAGACCCUUUUAAUCCAAAAUACAUGGAGACAUGCUUUCAAGAGCCAGUGUCUCCUGUCUCUAUGACACAUCCAUAGGGAGGAAUCUUUACCCAAAUAUUAACAUGAAGGAAGUGAAAAAAUACUUUAGAAAAAUUUUAGAAACCAGAAAAUGAAAUAAGGGCAAUCUUAAUAUCAUAAUGAUACCUGGCAUUUUUAUAAUGUCUCCAUUAAGAUUGUGAAAGAUCAGACUCAGGGAGAACAGUUGAUUUAUUGAAAUAAAUUUAAAACAAUCAUUAGAUGUGUCUCAGCCUACAACAAGCCAAUUUAUGUGGAGAUGAGCUCAGGGAAGGCACUGAGAGUGCCAGGAUGUGGCUAUGGGUGGAUUCAGUGUUAAAAUCCUCCUGAAAUUUCUUUGAGGUCUCUAAUUCACAUCAUGAGAGUGUGGUAACAGAGUUUGACCAGGUUCUUCUUACUUUGAAUUCAAUAGCUAUCUGGAGAAAAAGCUCUCUGAGCUUCUUUACUAAUCCAAAUUUCCUCUUGAAGCUUCGAGAAAAACAUUUCCAUUUUCAGCUUUUCAAAUUCCUUAAAUUUUUUGUGUCAGUCAGUGGUUAUUGGGUAAUGUAAGCCUCAUAAAUAUUCCAAAUUAAUUUUAGAAACUUAAGAUCCAAUAUUAGCAUGUGGAAUAUGUUGCUAGAGAAUGGUAGGUUGAUGUUUCUAGAGAGCUGGAAGAACGGGGGGAAUCUAUUCUUAGGUUAUGAUUCUUAAGCUUAGACUCUGAACUGUCAAUGGAGAUUGAGAUCAGUACUUAUUCCUCUUUUGGGUCCUUAUAUUUUGCUUUACCAAAAGACCAGAUGAGAAAAGGGUCUCAAAGUGGAAAUAAGGAAGCAUGUUUUUUACAUAAACCUCAACGCUUGGUCAUAUAUGCUAUCAAAGGCUGAGAAAGAAUUUUAGAACUUAGUUUAUUGUACUUGUCUUCCAAUUAAGCUGCAAUUAGCCAGACUACUGUAUAAUUUAAAAGAUACAUUUGUUAUCUUUGGGAACUUGAGGUUACUAAAUCAUUAACAGCUGUCAAGAUGGAAAAGACCAAUUGUCUUUGGAGGUUAGUUCUUUGCAGUGGAAGAAUUUGGAUUUUCUGGUUCAGCCCAUCUGAUGAGAAGAAUAACUCACAAACACGUUAGCUGGUUGUACAGAAUGAAUAAUUUUACCAGAGUAUGAUAUUAUUAAGAGUGAAGCUAAAUUUAAGAGGCUUAAAUUUUUUCAUCAGCUGAAAAAAAUAGUUAAAUAAAGAACAUAAAGCCAGGCAUGGUGGUACACUCCUGUGAUCCCAGCACUUUAGGAACCUGAGGCAGAAGGAUAGCAAGUUCAAGUCCAGGCUGGGCAGCUUAGUGACCUCCUAGUAAGACCUCGUUUCAAAAUUUAAAAAGGGCAUGAGGUCCUGAGUUCAAUCCUCAGUACUCAAAAAAACCAAAAAAGUCACAAUGACUGUCUCCUUUCUUCCUGAUGCCAAUUGAGGGGACACCCUGCACCACUUCUGUAACUGCCUCGUGUACUGUGCUAUGUGAUCGCCUUGCUGCCCUGUGAACAGGUUUUGCUUUCUUGACUGAUAUUAUAAAUUGCUUCAUGUUCAUGUCUCAAAUUUAAUUUUAAUAUUUAACUUUAAUGUCUUAGCAAUAUUUACAAUUCAUAACAUUUUAGUAAAAUAUAUUGUAUCUAUGUAUAGUAAAAUAUAUUGUAUUGUAUGUAUAAAUCUGUAAGUAUUUAUUAAGUGUAUUGUUUUCAGUGCUUCAGAUAACAGCAGAUUAAAAAAAAAUCCUAGGGCCGGGGAUUUAGCUCAGUGGUUCCAUUGCCUCCCCCUGCAAGCACAAGCACCCGAGUUUGCUCCCCAGUACCAAAACAAAACAAAACAAAACCCAAAACAAACAAAAAAAUCCUUCCCUUUAUCUUCAUAGACUUUACAUAAAGUUCACUUUAACAAAUAUAUCAUUAUGUGAUUAUUGAAAUUUUAUGAGAUCAUGAUCCCUCAGUUCCAUUAAGAGAUAUGGUGACCAAGUUAUAUGUCUAUAUUUUCUAUUUCUUAUAUGUCUAUGUCUGUAUUUUCUAUUUGAAGAAACUUAAAUUCAAGACUGAUAAAUUCAUAUUUAAUUGGAAAGGAAAUAGGGAGUCUGGUUGUUUUGUACUGUUUCACACUGUUGUGCAAGGGAUGGAACCUAGGGCUUGUGAGCCUGAAUCACGGGCUCCUCUGUGAAGCCCCACCCCCAGAGCCCUGGAGGACCUCAUGAGGACAGCACUGUCCCUCAGGCCACAGGACAGUAGCAUGUAGAUGGUCUCCACCACCGUGUUUCCUGGCUCAUUAUCACAAGGUCGCUCUUCUAGUAUACUAUUUCCUUCUGAGUCCAUCACUUACCUGGACUUGCCAAAUCUCUGAGAGCCCCCAGUUUCAAGCCUCCCACUUGGAGAUGCCUAGGGCCCUGCAGGUGGCCAUGGUGAGCAGCCAUGAGCUUGUCCCCACCCGGCACAAACCUAGCAACUGUCACUUCAUCAGAGUGCAUCCCUGACUACUCAGCCUAACAUAGCAGACGCCUCUCAUUCCCUUAACCUGUCUUAUAUUUGUUUGCAGCCCCUGUCACCAAUUGAUAUGAUAUAAUAUUUGCUUUAUUGCCUCUUUCUUUCCACUAAAAAGAAAACUUGACAGCAGGGUCUCUGUUCAUUGUGUUGAAUAGGGCCUGGCAAAUAGUAUAUGCUCAGAAUCUAUCAAUUGAACGAAUGACCACUUUGCUCUGCACAUUCAGCCUGCGAACACCAUGGGAUGCUGUGCCGUUGCCUGGCAACCAACUUUGGGGAUAUAUAUCUGAUCAAAGUUUACUUUCGGUAUUUCCUUGUAGUUUUAUAUAGUUUUGUGGUCAGAGUUAAAGAUAGCUUGCCGUGUAAGGAGGACAAGAGGGAGAGUGUGAUGAAGAGGCUUCCAAUAUCCACAAUGAGAUGACAGAGAAUUAGAUACCAAUGCUGUACUAUUGGGUAAUUAACCUAGUAAAGCAAAGUAGGUGAGAGCCACAGGAAAAGUAGAUAUGUGCAUAUGCUUUCUGACCCUGGGGGAUACAUAAUUAAGCAAUGGGGUUCCUGGAUUUUGGUAAACAGAAUUUCCUCUGUGCUGUUUGUAAAAGAUGAAACGGUGUUCUAAAUUUUGACUUAUCUUUGUUUCUCAGGGGAUGAAUUUGUUCCUGUUAACCCUGUAGGUUAGCCAUUCCUUGUAAACUACAGCUGCAGUGGUUACCAUCCAAGUGUGGUUGACACUCCAGUCCUUCUUGCAAAACAUUCAGUAAAUAUUUGGGCCUUGGACUUAGCUAGUUUUGCAAAUUCUAUCAUUGUUUACCAAGUGGAGGUCAGGGCUCUACCACUCCACGUAAUGGACUCAUAGCAAUUGACCUUUGAAGAAGGUGGGCAUCUUUCAUAGAGGAUGCAAGGUCCCUCAAGAUGUCAACAAAAAGCCUUUACAAGAACCCAUUCUAUGUAGCUUUAACUUAGGACUAUAGUGCAAUCACACUAGGGCAACAAACCACCUCAAGCAGUUAGAAUGUAAAAUAAAGAUCCCAAUCUCAUAGAUAUUUUGUUUGUCUUCAUUCCAAAGUGCAGGAUAAAGCAAGUGUGACUUUAAUCAGGAUAAGAUGAAUUGUUUUGUAGCUGAAAUAACAUUUUUCAUUUUUCUUACCCUCUCUUUGGGAAUGUAUACUUUGUUGCAAAAACAGUUUGCAUGGAAAAACAAGGAGGCCUUUUGUCAGAGAGCUGCCCCUUGGCACCAUAAGCCCACCUCUCCUGCAAAGCUUAGAAGCUUCCUUUCCUAGAGCAUCUCCUUGGAAGUAUAACUUGACCCUUCUGUAAGUUCGCUUUUGACCCAGCCAGUGGCUGCUGUCCUGUCGUCCCUCUUCCUUGUGCCUCUGGGUUUUCUGUCUUUGAUUUACAUAAUAAAAGUAAAAGCACAUUGUUUGUAGACUACCAACAAAACAUUUUCACUUUCCAUCAGCUAUUUUUAUCCACAAAGCAAAUACUCUGACAAUGUUGGUGUCCCGAAGGGGUAUUUUCACUGUGAGAGUGUACUGGUUUUCAGUCUGCCAGCAAAUCAUUUGCUUUUUGCCUCAUUUGAGGAAAUCCAGUUCUGAGGAGUCAGGCCACAGAUUUAGCUUAGACUAUGAAUGGUUUACUUAAAAAAGGCCCUUCAUUAUCAGAAUCCUUGGAGCUUCCUACCCCAUAUGGGCUUCUUGCUAUAACCUACUGAGAGAAUUCAACUCAUCAGGAGCUAUUGAAUUCAAAUCACGAGGUCAGCAUGGAAAUCUGCUUCCAUCUUAAACUGAACUGAAAACAAGCUAAUCAUAAAAAAUUAAAACAUAUGUCUGAGAAAGACUGUAAAAGAUCAUCUAACCAACUUUAACCCAAAAGAGGAGAUAGAUGGAUAGAUUUAAAUAUAUGUUCAUACAAUCACGCACACAUUUAUACACAUAUACAUAUUAUUUUUUAAAUCAAUAAACUUUGCUAAAACCCUGUUCAAUCAGAGCACAACUUUGAUUCUCAGGACACUUUGUCUCUGUGCAUCAUUUUAGAUGAAGAACUGCUUUGUACUUGGCAAGUGUGGGUUUGGGCCUGAUGGAAUUAAAUCCCUGUUCUGGCACAGCGACUUUGCUUAUAUCACAAAAUCCCUCCAUGUCUCUCCUCAUUUAUAAGAUCAUAUUUCCCUCCUACGUUUGUUAUAGGAUUAAAUGAGAGAAUACACAAAACAAAAAUAACUAAAGUGCACUGCAACGUGUCUUCAAAAUCGAGCUGUCUACCGCUGCUUCAGGACUAGAUCAUUUAUCACUAGUGCUAUGGAUCAAACCUUGGGCCUUACACAUACUAGGUAAGUGCUCUACCACCAAGCUACAACUCCAGCCCAAACAUUUAUCUUUGUUUUCAAUUCAAAACAUAAAUAUGCCUUUGAAAAGACUUAGAAUCAAACAUUCAGGUGUUAGUGUUUCCUUCAGACUGGAUAUAUUUCUCCUACUAAGGUAGUUCAUCGACUUUCACAGUAAGUUUGCAAUCAGAGGAGGAAAUGAGUGAUCAUAAAAGUCAAGGACAUUAAUAACGGUGUUAACGUACAAUUGUAAAUUAUCAGCAGGUGAUGACAGAGAUCUUUCCCUGUCACACAAAGAAGCUCUGGGGUCAGGACAAAAACGUGGCCUUUCUCUGACAUCUCAGGUAGUCUCUUUUCCUCUCACUGAAGGUCAAAUAUUUGGGAGGUAGAUUUUCCCAGCCCCUGCCUUCCAUACCCAGGUUUUCCUCUGAGAAAACAAGAGGGCUUGGGCCCCUUUCCCUCGGUGGCAGUGGGGUGCCCUGUCAGAUGGUUCUUCCUGUCAGAGAGACAGUGAAGCUGGAAAGCUAAGUAGGAAGGGAGAGCCUAGAAUAUGGCCACAGAGAGGGGCAGGGAUACAUAUCUGGCCUCAUCUUCUUCUGGGAAUAUGGAAUUGGUCUAUGGGGGAAGACAAAGCCACCUACUCCUAUAGCCACAGGUUAAAAAUAAUUAAUGUUACCUCACCCUCGGGCUAAGAAAGGUCUUUAGUAAUUGGGGUGGGGGUGGAAGGCCCAUUGUAAGCAUGGCUGGGUUUGUUCUAGUAGAGGUCAGAGCUCUGUGUUUGC
This is a non-coding RNA of Heterocephalus glaber (naked mole-rat), 7800 nucleotides long. The record is from RefSeq and is a predicted model, not a curated record. NCBI's taxonomy places the organism in Eukaryota, Metazoa, Chordata, Mammalia, Rodentia, Bathyergidae.